ACUUGAUAGGAAAACUACCAUUUUAUUUUGAUUCCUCUUCAAUGAUCUGGAAUUUCUGCGAGGAGCUCUGUUCGAGAGGAAGCACUGGCUCUUAUCGAAAUUGACCUUUUGGCCAUUACAACAUUACAAUCAGCUUCUUACUUCUUUCCAGAAAGAUUUUCUGCUUCUUAAGAUUCCGUUUAUGGCUAUUAUAUAAUAUUAGAACAUCGUUAUCAAAGAGAAAGUAGGAGAGUGCUGGGCACGAUCUCGAAGCAUGGUAAGAUGUUAUCAUUUUCAAUGAUACCAAGUCCCGGCUUAGCACUUCUUCAGCUAAAAUCAACAGGCUAGGUUUGGAACCCUUGUCGCAGCCCUCGGUUUAUGGCUGUUAUAUAUUAUUAGAACAUCGUUAUCAAAGAGAAAGUAGGAGAGUGUUGGGCACGAUCUCGAAACAUGGUACCAAGUCCCAGCUUAGCACUUCUUCAGCUAAAAUCAACAUGCUAGGUUUGGAACCCUUGUCGCAGCCCUCGAGAAGCU
RNAcentral lists this long non-coding RNA (513 nucleotides) under Nicotiana benthamiana. RNAcentral describes it as "long non-coding RNA (NBEN_LNC035326)". The record is from RNAcentral. Lineage: Eukaryota; Viridiplantae; Streptophyta; Magnoliopsida; Solanales; Solanaceae.